GUCUUCGUAGCGCAAUAAACAGCGCGUUGGACUUCUUAUCCAAAGGGCGUGGGUUUGAAUCCCACCUGGGAUG
This is a non-coding RNA of Trichonephila clavipes, 73 nucleotides long. NCBI's taxonomy places the organism in Eukaryota, Metazoa, Arthropoda, Arachnida, Araneae, Nephilidae. The record is from the annotation of a GenBank genome assembly.